AGYCGCGGUUAAACCAAGGAGAUCAAGUUAUAUAUUAACGGUAAAAAAUAGUUAAACAUAUAUAAAAAGUCUAUUAAAUGUUUAUAAAAAAGUAAAAUUUGACCAUAGACAAAAAAUCUAAUUUAGACUUAGAUGUUGAAGCUAUGAAAACCUUGAGGGAAACUGGGAUUAGAUACCCCAUUAUUCUUGGAAGUAAAAUAAUACUUAUUUACCAGAGUACUAUGAACUAAAAAUUUAAAACUUAAAGGGCUUGGCGGUGUUUUAGACCCCCCAGGGGAACCUGUCUCAUAAUCGACAAUCCACGUUAAACCUAACCUUUUUUUGCACUCAAUUUGUAUACCGUCGUCGUCAGGUAACUUUUUAGAAAAAAGAAGUUAGCAAAAAAAUUAAGGUGAAUUUAUACGUCAGAUCAAGGUGCAGUCAAUAAAAAGGUGAGGAUGGGUUACAAUUAUAAAAUUAUAAUUACGAAGCAAUUAUCUGAAUAAAAAUUGUUAAGGAGGACUUGAAAGUAAGAUAAAAUAUAUAAACAUUCUGAAUAAGGCUCUGAAACGCGCACACAUCGCCCG
This 566-nucleotide ribosomal RNA is filed under the name Trachypollia lugubris. RNAcentral describes it as "partial 12S ribosomal RNA". The record is from RNAcentral. Lineage: Eukaryota; Metazoa; Mollusca; Gastropoda; Neogastropoda; Muricidae.